Molecule: ribosomal RNA, 357 nt
Filed under: uncultured bacterium
Lineage: Bacteria
Description: bacterial SSU rRNA
Rfam family: Bacterial small subunit ribosomal RNA
Source: RNAcentral
UAUUGCACAAUGGGGGAAACCCUGAUGCAGCGACGCCGCGUGGAGGAAGAAGGCCUUCGGGUUGUAAACUCCUGUCGUAAGGGACGAUAGUGACGGUACCUUACAAGAAAGCCACGGCUAACUACGUGCCAGCAGCCGCGGUAAAACGUAGGUGGCAAGCGUUGUCCGGAAUUACUGGGUGUAAAGGAGCGCAGGCGGGUCUGCAAGUUGAAGUAAACUCAUGGGCUCAACCCAUAACUGUUUUCAAAACUGCGAUCUUAGUGGUGAAGGAGGCGAAUUCCCGGCGAGCGGUGAAUGCGAGUUCGGAGAACACCAGUGCAAGCGCCUCUGGGACAACUGCGUGGGCAAAUCGAUCUU